UGGGAAAUAGUGCGAGAAAAUUACGAGGGAUAGCCACGCAACGAACCAAAGCGUAAUUGAAUUGAUGCUCUUCCUUCCCUUUUCUUCUACCUCCAAUCCAUAUCUUGUUUCGCAAAAUUCUCAAUUUUUAUCCUUUUUUGUUUUUUGUUUAUAUAUUCAAAAGCCAAACAAAAUCAUAGGUUGAAAGGCUGAGAAAGGAGAAGGGGAGAGAUGAUAACGCGAUCGAAUUUAGCUGAGCAAUUGAGGGAUUAUCAGCUUCGGUCUAAGCAUGAUUGGGCUUCCGUUUCGUUUUUCUCAUCAACGUCCAAUCUCUCAUCUUAUAGGGUUGAUGUUAUGGUCUUUGUUAUAUGGGAACUCGUCAUUUUAGCUUUCCUUGUUUUUACAGCCAUUUCUUUAUAUUUUAGGCAUAUGCAACUUGCCUUUAUCCUAGUAUGCAUCACAAUGUUAUUGCUUCUCUGCAUGAAAAUCACGAAGCAAGUGAGGUUGGCCAGGAAGAGGAAAAGAAGGAUGCUUCUUCCAUUAUCCAUUUAGAACUACAUGAAGGUUGAAUGAGUUUUAAUGCCAUGGUGCCUGGAACUAGCUGAUGAAGGAUUACGAUUUGAUGUGAUUGCCUGGAAGAAAGAAAAAAAAAGCAGAACCAAGCUCAGUUGAUUUACAACAGAUCAAAUGGUAUUCGGGACUUCAAGUUUCCCUGCUGUUGGAAGAGUUAAAUUCCUGCAAAUUUGGCCUUAUUUGGUUUAACAAUAGAUUUUCACAGAUAUAUGUAAAGAUAAAGAUAUGCCACUGUUGCACGUUUGGUUCACUAUAAUGGAAUAGGGGUGGGGUAGAAUGUUAUCCUGUAGGAAUUAAAUAGGUUGUAAUAAGUACGAGUCUUUCGGUUGGAUUGAAUGGAAUAGAUAUGUAAUAUGAAUUUAGAUUAUGGAUAAUGAGUGAUUCAGUAAACCAGGCCUUCGAAUUAUUGUUGAUCAUUGA
Molecule: RNA transcript, 972 nt
Organism: Hibiscus syriacus
Lineage: Eukaryota; Viridiplantae; Streptophyta; Magnoliopsida; Malvales; Malvaceae
Exons: 3
Source: RefSeq, a predicted model, not a curated record